This 273-nucleotide ribosomal RNA is filed under the name uncultured bacterium. Its description in RNAcentral is "partial 16S ribosomal RNA". It matches the Rfam family "Bacterial small subunit ribosomal RNA", at positions 524 to 776 of the family's 1533-position model. The record is from RNAcentral.
UACAGAGGGCGCGAGCGUUGUCCGGAAUCACUGGGCGUAAAGGGCGCGUAGGUGGCCACCAUAAGGCCGCGGUGAAAGUUCGGGGCUCAACCCCGGAUCGGCCGCGGCGACUGUGGGGCUCGGGUACUGUAGAGGCAGGUGGAAUUCCGGGUGUAGCGGUGGAAUGCGUAGAGAUCCGGAAGAACACCAGUGGCGAAGGCGGCCUGCUGGGCAGUGGGAUCGAAAGGUCCCUUCAACCGACACUGAGGCGCGACAGCGUGGGGAGCAAACAGG